CUUCGCCCCGCCCGUCCGCGCAGCGCGUCCGGCCCGCCCGCAGGCCAGCUUCUCUCGGGAGCCCCCACCCAGGCUCAUGGCUCCAUGAAGCAAGAGGAGGAGGCAGAGCGCGAGAGGUCCGUCCGCCCCAGCCGCGUCUGGGCCAGGAGAAAAGCAAAACCAUAUUCCUGCUGCUGUCAGUUAUGAUGCACUGAGAAAACUUCAGAGACCUAAGCUUUUUCCAGAGAAGAGAAGCUUUACUGGUGUUCCAGCCCUAAGCAACCAUCUUUCCUGUGAAAAAUUCCCUCUCCUAGUACUUUAGUUCUGUGGAUCCAAAAUUUAUAGCAUUCUUCUACCACCACAGGGGCUCAUAUGACAUUAACAGACAAGACACUUUUCAGAAAGACAGGUUGUUCUUUUGGGCCACAUCUAAGAAAUCUUUGUCUAGCCAAAAGCCACAAAUAAUUUCUCAUUUUUUGGCUUCUGGAAGAUGUACAGUUAAAUGUUAUAUUUGGGACUGUUAUCUAAUUUGAUUAAAUUGCACUCUACAAUAUGAUAUUUGAAUUGAUGAAAAAUUAGUAAAUGUUAAUAUUUUUUAAAGUA
Molecule: non-coding RNA, 582 nt
Filed under: Pan troglodytes (chimpanzee)
Lineage: Eukaryota; Metazoa; Chordata; Mammalia; Primates; Hominidae
Source: RNAcentral